This 465-nucleotide ribosomal RNA is filed under the name Vreelandella stevensii. RNAcentral's name for it is "partial 16S ribosomal RNA". It matches the Rfam family "Bacterial small subunit ribosomal RNA", at positions 338 to 795 of the family's 1533-position model. Lineage: Bacteria; Pseudomonadati; Pseudomonadota; Gammaproteobacteria; Oceanospirillales; Halomonadaceae. The record is from RNAcentral.
CCUACGGGAGGCUGCAGUGGGGAAUAUUGGACAAUGGGGGGAACCCUGAUCCAGCCAUGCCGCGUGUGUGAAGAAGGCCCUCGGGUUGUAAAGCACUUUCAGUGAGGAAGAACGCCUGGUGGUUAAUACCCAUCAGGAAAGACAUCACUCACAGAAGAAGCACCGGCUAACUCCGUGCCAGCAGCCGCGGUAUUACGGAGGGUGCGAGCGUUAAUCGGAAUUACUGGGCGUAAAGCGCGCGUAGGUGGCUUGAUAAGCCGGUUGUGAAAGCCCCGGGCUCAACCUGGGAACGGCAUCCGGAACUGUCAAGCUAGAGUGCAGGAGAGGAAGGUAGAAUUCCCGGUGUAGCGGUGAAAUGCGUAGAGAUCGGGAGGAAUACCAGUGGCGAAGGCGGCCUUCUGGACUGACACUGACACUGAGGUGCGAAAGCGUGGGUAGCAAACAGGAUUAGAUACCCUGGUAGUC